CUCACGAACUGUGAGAUCAUGACCUGAGUUGAAGUUGGACGCUUAACUGACUGAACCACCCAGGCGCCCCAAUUUGUAGGUAUUUUAGAGUUGUGAUUAUUAUGUGUCAUUUUUCCAUUAUAUUUUUGAAAUGGUUCUUAAUACAUAGUAAAAUUAUGAUUUUUGUAUAUUCCUUUUGUACUUAGUAUCUUGUAUUAUUGUACUUUGUUUACUUAACUCUCCCCCAUUUCUGGGCAUUAGGUUGUUCCCAAGCUUUGAGGAUCAUAAUUAGCCUUGCUAUAAACAUCUCUAAACAGGUCUCUCCAUAAGGCAGCUCACAACAUGCUGUCUACCCUUGCAGUGAGUGGAGAGAGAACAUGAGAAGGUGCCCAAGACAGAAGCUUCGGUCUUUUUAUAACCUCAUGUCAGAAGCAAUAUCCUGUCAUUUGUGCUGUAUUAAAUUAGUUAGAAGUGAGUCAGUAGCUCUAGCCCACAGUCAACUGGAGGUGAUUACACCAAGGAGUGAAUACCAGAAGUUUUAGUACACGUGCUACCCAAGCGAGCACAGGAGUCGCAGAAUCCGAAGCAGGCUCCAGGCUCCGAGCUGUCAGCAUAGAGCCUAACUUGGAGCUAGAACCCAUGGACCACGAGAUCAUGACCUGAGCUGAAGUUGGAUGCUAAACUGACUGAGUCAUCCAGGCACCUCAAAUGUAAACUAUUAUUAAUAGUGUAAACGUGUAGUAAGUUUUUGUUAACCUCACUCUAUGCCUGUUCAAGUCCCCCUUGCUCUUGGUCUCAUCCUCUGUCUGUUGCCUCCUCCUUUCCUUAAUAAGUGUAAAUGGCUUGGCCCCCACUUGGGCUCUCUUCCCCUCCUCCAUUGUCCUUCUCUUCAACCUUCCUAACCCAGGUUUAAUGCGGCUGUCUCCUCCAUACCUAUACCAUGGCUGCAGAGCUCUGCGAAGAUGAUAUCUAUUGUACAACUUGCAUUUCUCCUACAUCAGUUCAUCCCUCAGUGUGUCCUGCAACUAUUUCUGUUUCUCAAACCAGAGCUUUCUGCUUAAUAUAUGUAUCAGCAAA
This is a long non-coding RNA of Lynx canadensis (Canada lynx), 1056 nucleotides long. RefSeq lists it as uncharacterized. NCBI's taxonomy places the organism in Eukaryota, Metazoa, Chordata, Mammalia, Carnivora, Felidae. The transcript has 3 exons. The record is from RefSeq and is a predicted model, not a curated record.